GACUGGAGGUUGGGCGGGGGGCGGGGCGGGGAUCCAGGGCCUUGGACCCUCGGAUGAGGAAACUGGGACGCGAAUUGGGGAACCACCCAAGGUCACGCGGCGAGGCGGUGGCUACGCAUAGGUCGCAGCCCCGGGCACCGGGCAGGGCGCUGCCCUUCAAAGCAGCCCACAGCGACUAGCGGUUUAUGCUUGGAAGCUAGGGAGGCUUCCUUCUGCGUUUAUUCCUGUAAACCCGGCAACCUGCUCUGACGGCGAUUCCUGCAGGCGAAUACCUAAAAAACCCCGCCUCCUCCCGCGGUAUCUCCGAGCGCAUCCCACGGUGGCUUCCGGGCUGCUGUGACCUUUAUGACCCACAGACGACCCCCCACGGGCCGGCUCUCACGCUGCCCCUUGGGACGGCGGGGGCCGGGGGUCAGUGUGGGAGGCCCGAACCGCCCCGGGGGUAGGAGGGAACAAAGCGGGCACUCAGCUCCGGCACCUGGGUAAGUGGGCCGCGAAGGGGAGGAGGAGCUGCCCGCAGGAGCGGAUAAAAGGACCGGGCAGUGGCGGAGGAGACCCGGCCUCCCAGUCGCCUCCGCUCCUCCCUGCCCCCCAGCCCCCAACAUUGGGGCCAUUCACAGGGCCCCUCACCAGCUGCCCUACCCUCCCCUGCCCCCUCCCCUGACAAAGGUCCAGCUGCGACUCCAGAUGCAGAGGGAGAUCCUUGGGGGAGGGGGAGUCUCCUCCAAGCCUCUUGCAUCAUCCUCAGAUGAUGCAACCUUCUCAGACAUGUGACGAGUGCGUGGGUGAGGGUCUGAGGCUGCACCUGCGAUGCCACCUUCCGCCCCUCCCCCAUAACUGCUCCACCCAGUAGCCCAGAAAACAAAGAUGAUGUCAAGGUCGAAUCGACGCACUCCUCUCAUCCUCCUGGCCAACAGGAGACUACCGCGGCAGCUCCCAAGGAAAGGUGGGAAGUCACGGGGGUCUCCUGUGUCUUUCACCAGCAUCGGGACCCACAGGAAGCUCUCUGGUGGACAGGGGGUCGCUCUCCCAGAGCAGGAGCCCGUUAGGUGUCCGGUCAGGUCUCGGGCACUCCCUCCUGGUCUUGGAGCCAGUGUAAGAGGGGAAGUGGAGUAACACCUGUGGGCCACCUACACCAAGACUGUCCUUGCUGCGCAUGCGCGUCCUUGCUCGUCCUCAUCGCCUUGUGAGCUAAGAGCAGCUGUCUUUCUCUUUCGGUUUGGAGAUGAAGAAACGGAGUCUUGUCAGGAUGUGAACUCGCGCGCUGGUUCCAGACUCACCUCCGAGGAGGAGUCUGGCUGCAGCAGCGCCGGGCUGGCCCUGGGGUUUUCCUCCAGGUCCACUGCUGGGAAGUGCAGCCACUGCCCACCCCUUCUCGGUCCCUCCAGGCCACAGGAUGUAAAACCAGGGGAAGCCCGGAGUACAAGGGGCUAGCAACCCAGGCCUCCUGGAGGUCAGGGCCUCGGGACUGCAGCACCUCAGCGACUCCCUCCUGGACCCCCAGGGAGCAGCACGGAGGCUGGGUGUCUACACCGGGACCUUGGCUCUGCUGCCCAGCCCUGAGGAGCUCUCUGCAGUAGAAGAUGGCCCAAGUGCUUGGGGCCCUGGACCCACGUUGGAGACCCAGAUGAAGCUCGUGGCUCCUGGCUUUGAAUCGACCCAGCUCCGGCUGUUGCAGCCAUUUGGGGAGUGAACCAGUACAGAUGGAAGAGCUUUCUCUCUUUCUCUCCCUCUGUCUGUAACUCUGCCUCUCAAAUAAAUAAAUAAAUCUAAAAAAAAAAAAAAAAGGGUAGCUUCUCUGGGAUCAUCUGUCCUUGUUCAAUGAGCCAGACAGAGGGUGGAUUUGUCAUAAUGAAGUCUCAGAGAUGAGUGUGAAUGGGGCUGUGGGCCGGGGAAGGGACGGUGAUGAGACUUGCCUGCCCCCAAAGGUCAGUGCCAGAGCCCCAGGGUGGGAGAAGGCAGAUUUGUAGAAAGUUUGCCAGCCUCUGUUGGAAACUCAGAAAACUGGAGGCUCGGGAGACAAGGUGAGCGUUGGCAGAAGCAGGAGGAAACCUUGGGGGCUGGUGUUGUGGUACAGUGGGUUGGGCCGUCCAUAUUAGAGUGCCAGGUCAAGUUCCAGCCGCUCUGUUUCCCAUCCAGCUUCCUGCUAGCACACCUGGGAAAGCUGCGGGUGAUGGCCCAGGUACUGGGGCUCCUGUCACUCAUGUGGGAGACCCAGAUGGAGUUCCUGGCUCCAACAGCCCAGACCUGGCUGUUGUGGUCAUUUGGAGAGUGAACCAGCAGAUGGAGGAUCUCUCUCUCUCUCUCUCUCUCUCUCUCUCUCUCUCUAUAUAUAUAUAUAUAUAUAUCUUUGUUGCUUUGCCUUUCAAAUAAAUAAAUACAUAUUUUUUAAGGCUGAGAGAGGGAAGCUUGACGCGCUGGAUCCCCAAGGUGCCCAGACCUCACCAGGCACUACCUGAAACAAGACCUAGGUUUUGCAGUGUGCCAUGCUGCACCAUGUGUGUUUGUUCCCUAAGUUUUCUCAUCUGAUCCUCGCAGCAUGCUGUGAGGUCAACACUGUUAUGGGUCCAUUUUGCAGAAGAGGAAAUGGGCUCAAAGGUCACUUGGCCAAAGCAGUGGUCAUUCGUGCUGCUCCCCACAAACUUCCGGCUCUCUGCUUCUGGCACGGGGUAAGCCUGCAGGUCCUCCCUCUUUGGCGGUGCUGUCUGGCCAUUGACUUACUUUGACCCGUGAGAUGCAGGUGGACUUUGGUAGCUGUGACCAGUGACUUUCGUCGGUGGAAUGCGGUGGUGCUGACGUGUGUCACCUCAAGGUGGAAGUCUGAAGAGCCUCUGGCACCCUCGUGCCUGUGUUAUUCCUAGCAGGUGAAUGAGAAAUAAACUAUUUGCAAAGCCAGUGAGCUUACAGUUGUGUGUUGCCAUGCAUGGCCUGGCCUAGUUUGAUAGA
Oryctolagus cuniculus (rabbit) is the source of this 2946-nucleotide non-coding RNA. The record is from RefSeq and is a predicted model, not a curated record. Lineage: Eukaryota; Metazoa; Chordata; Mammalia; Lagomorpha; Leporidae.